CUACGGGUUGCUCCAGUGGGGAAUAUUGGACAAUGGGGGAAACCCUGAUCCAGCAAUGCCGCGUGUGUGAAGAAGGCCUGCGGGUUGUAAAGCACUUUCGGUUGGGAGGACUGCUUCUAGCACUAAUAUUGUUGGAAGUUGACGUUACCUUCAGAAGAAGCACCGGCUAACUCCGUGCCAGCAGCCGCGGUAAUACGGAGGGUGCAAGCGUAAUCGGAAUUACUGGGCGUAAAGCGCGCGUAGACGGCUAGAUCAGUCGGGUGUGAAAGCCCCGGGCUUAACCUGGGAACUGCAUCCGAUACUGUCUAGCUUGAGUACAGGAGAGGAGAGUGGAAUUCCACAUGUAGCGGUGAAAUGCGUAGAUACGUGGAGGAACACCAAUGGCGAAGGCAGCUCUCUGGCCUGAUACUGACGCUGAGGUGCGAAAGCGUGGGGAGCAAACAGGAUUAGAUACCCCGGUAGUC
This 464-nucleotide ribosomal RNA is filed under the name uncultured bacterium. RNAcentral's name for it is "partial 16S ribosomal RNA". It matches the Rfam family "Bacterial small subunit ribosomal RNA", at positions 339 to 795 of the family's 1533-position model. The record is from RNAcentral.